RNAcentral lists this ribosomal RNA (404 nucleotides) under uncultured bacterium. RNAcentral's name for it is "partial 16S ribosomal RNA". It matches the Rfam family "Bacterial small subunit ribosomal RNA", at positions 28 to 526 of the family's 1533-position model. The record is from RNAcentral.
GACGAACGCUGGCGGCGUGCUUAACACAUGCAAGUCGAGCGGAGCGGCGAACGGGUGAGUAACGCGUGAGUAACUGCCCCCCUCCCUGGGAUAACAGUUGGAAACGGCUGCUCAUACCGGAUAGUGGGGGAUGACUCGCGUCCUAUCAGCUUGUUGGUGGGGUAGUGGCCUACCAAGGCGACGGCGGGUAGCCGGCCUGAGAGGGGUACCGGCCACAGUGGGCUAAGAUACGGCCCAAACGCCUACGGGAGGCAGCGGGGGGGAAGAUUGCACAAUGGGGGAACCCCUGUUGCAGCAACGCGCGUGCGGGAUGACGGCCUUCGGGUUGUAAACCGCUUUCAGCCAUGACGCGGUAGUGGCAGAAGAAGCACCGGCUAACUACGUGCCAGCAGCCGCGGUAAUUC